GAUGAAGAACGUAGCGAAAUGCGAUACUUGGUGUGAAUUGCAGAAUCCCGUGAACCAUCGAGUCUUUGAACGCAAGUUGCGCCUCAAGCCAUUAGGUUGAGGGCACGUCUGCCUGGGCGUCACAUAUCGUUGCCUGAUGCCAGUUUCCUCGUGAUGGGUGACUGUGCAGGGCGAAUGAUGGCCUCCCGUGAGCAUUGUUGCCUCAUGGUUGGUUGAAAAUUGAGUCCUUGGUAGGGAGCGCCGUGAUAGAUGGUGGUUGAGUGACGAACGAGACCCAAUCAUGUGAGACCCCUACCGAAUUUGGCCUUCAUGACCCACAUGCGUCUUUGGAACGCUCAUGACGAGACCUCAGGUCAGGCGGGGCUACCCGCUGAGUUUAAGAAUAUCAAUAAGCGGAGUA
Molecule: unclassified non-coding RNA, 400 nt
Filed under: soil metagenome
Description: partial contains 5.8S ribosomal RNA, internal transcribed spacer 2, and large subunit ribosomal RNA
Rfam family: 5.8S ribosomal RNA (bases 1-122)
Source: RNAcentral